RNAcentral lists this transfer RNA (72 nucleotides) under Camelus bactrianus (Bactrian camel). It matches the Rfam family "tRNA". From Rfam's summary of the family: Transfer RNA (tRNA) molecules are approximately 80 nucleotides in length. The record is from Rfam by way of RNAcentral. RNAcentral also lists the same sequence under 2 other names. Lineage: Eukaryota; Metazoa; Chordata; Mammalia; Artiodactyla; Camelidae.
GAGGGUAUAGCUCAGUGGAAGAGUACAUGGUUAGCAUGCAUGAGGUCAUGGGUUCCAUCCUCAGUAUCUCCA